RNAcentral lists this transfer RNA (72 nucleotides) under Camelus bactrianus (Bactrian camel). It matches the Rfam family "tRNA". From Rfam's summary of the family: Transfer RNA (tRNA) molecules are approximately 80 nucleotides in length. Their secondary structure includes four short double-helical elements and three loops (D, anti-codon, and T loops). The record is from Rfam by way of RNAcentral. RNAcentral also lists the same sequence under 1 other name. Lineage: Eukaryota; Metazoa; Chordata; Mammalia; Artiodactyla; Camelidae.
AGGGUAAUAGCUCAGUGGUAGAGCACAUGUUUAGCAUGCAUGAGGUCCUGGGUUCAGUCCCCAGUACCUCCA